Molecule: ribosomal RNA, 906 nt
Filed under: Triticum aestivum (bread wheat)
Lineage: Eukaryota; Viridiplantae; Streptophyta; Magnoliopsida; Poales; Poaceae
Description: partial small subunit ribosomal RNA
Source: RNAcentral
AUGAAAGCAAAGUACUAUCCUCAUGGGCACCUGCUGGACACUGUAUUCCCUCAAGUGACAUCGACUACUUGGCAAGGUGAGGAAGAUUUUAUUGCUUGGCGCUAUGAGAAAAAUAGAAUGUUCUCGGUUAAAAGUGCGUACAGGCUGGCGCUGAAUUUGAAGAACAAUAAGAGUGAGACGGGGAGCUCUAGUGAUGCUGUGAAUGGAGAAAGGAGGCUUUGGAACAUUAUUUGGAAGGCUCAGGUCCCUCAGAAAAUCAGAAUUUUUGCUUGGCGUGCUGCUACUAAUAGUUUGGCGGUUCAAGUUAACAGGGUUAAACACCAUCAAACUACCAUUGGCUUAUGUUCGAUUUGUGGCGUCGAAGAUGAAUGUGUGUUUCAUGCUCUGGUGAGAUGUCCCAAGGCGUGGGCGCUCCGUAUGGCGUUAACGUCGCCGGUGCGUGAGAAAGUUAUAUUCAUGUUUUGGAGGGCAUGGUACCUGAGGAAUGACUUGAUCUUUGGUAAGGGAAAGGAAACUAUCUCUACCUUUGUGAGCUUUAUUCAAAACUACUGGGGGUCCUUCUCGUCCUGUCAUACCAAUAGGAAGAUGGAGGUUACCAACAAAGGUAAGGAAAGGGUCGAUGGGUUUUAUGAUACAAUUAAAGUGAAAGAAAAAGUUGUGAAUUGGCAGCCACCCAACCCGGAGUCCAUUAAGAUUAAUGUUGAUGCAAGCUUUGUGGAGGCCAUUAGCUCUGCGAGUGUGGGUGUGGUUGCCAGGAAUCAUUUGGGAGAAGUGAUCAUUUCUUCAUGGGAUUAUAUUGAGAAAAUGAUUAUGGAUGGGGACAACGGGUGUGGCAGGAGAUGCGCGGGGCAGCUUGAGUGCGGUCCAAGGAAGGAUGGCACCGUGAUGAAAUCAUGGAGGAAGUAG